AUGAGGCUUAUUUUUAGCAAUUUGCUUCUGUUUCUUGCUCUGGGACCCUGUUUCAAGUCCACUGAUGCACAAGAGACAACAACAGAGACAGAUGCAAACCUCAGCACCACAUUACUGGACAGUGACACUGUGGAGACAAUGUUAAGUGAUGAAAUCACCAGCACCACACCUGAAAAUACAAAUACUCUACUACCAACAGAAACGGAUACGCAUAAUCCAGAAACCACACUUGUUUAUCAAGUAAGCACCAUGCUUGAGAAACCAACAGUUGAGAGUACUCCAGCACUCAGCACUGAGAUCGAGCAAACGUCAACAAAAUCUGUUUCUGAAACAACAACUGUACAAACAGAACAGACCACAGUGACCACCCCUGCUGUGCCUGUUAAUGUGGAAACAACAGUGACUGAACAAAUAACUUCAGACACCCCAAGCCCAAGUCAAUAUGAAUCAACUGUUGGCUUCAUUGAGUUAACAGAACGUCCUACAGAUGAAAUCACCACAGCAGCUGUGACCAUGACCACUGAUUCAGCAGAAGCCCUCAAUCCCACAUCCAUCCUGACCACACCACCUGCAGACAGGUCUCCGUCCAUCAUCUCCGACCUUGUGGACACCAGGACUGAAACCUCCACUACAAGUCUAACAUCAACCUCUCAGCUCCCUCUUAUAUAUACUGCUGCACCCGUGCACCCGUACUCGACGUCUGAUGAAGAAUCAGUCUCCACCCAUUUCACCACCAUAAUCGCUGGCAUAGUUAGCAAGGAAAGCAGUUCGCCUAUACAAACCAGCUGGAUAUUAAUACUGAUAGUGUGUGUGGCCAUUAUUUCUGUGCUAUGUGUGAUUCUGUAUGUCCAGUGGAGAAAGAAAAACGCCUCAAGGAAUUUCGGCCCUAUGUCCAAGUCCAAGAAGAAAAAAGGGGGGGAGGGUGACGCAUGGGCGGGGCCUGUCAAUCUGGAGGCCGGAGCUGAAUGUGAUGCUGAGGUACAGGAUGGUCUUCUGCCUAAUAAUGGGAAACCGGAUGGAGAUGAUAUGGUGCUCAGCACAUUCGCCGCACUGGAUGCAGGAGACACGUCUAACGGUGGAGUGGGUGGAGACGGUACCAAGGAGGCUAAGAAAUGGGAGGAGCAGGAGCCUUUGUUUUUCAUAGAUGAGGAUGUGAAUGAAGACAAGACAGGAAAAACACUGGCAGAGAAUGAGAAACAGAAAGGAGAUGAAAAAAGUGAAGAGAAGGGGAUGAAUGGAGGAGAAACGUUCUGUCUCACCACAGCUGUUUAA
Cyprinus carpio (common carp) is the source of this 1272-nucleotide long non-coding RNA. NCBI's taxonomy places the organism in Eukaryota, Metazoa, Chordata, Actinopteri, Cypriniformes, Cyprinidae. The record is from Ensembl.